UGAGGAAUAUUGGUCAAUGGACGCAAGUCUGAACCAGCCAAGUCGCGUGCAGGAUGACGGCCCUAUGGGUUGUAAACUGCUUUUAUAUGGGGAUAAAGUGGGGAACGUGUUCCCUUUUGCAGGUACCAUAUGAAUAAGGACCGGCUAAUUCCGUGCCAGCAGCCGCGGUAAUACGGAAGGUUCGGGCGUUAUCCGGAUUUAUUGGGUUUAAAGGGAGCGUAGGCCGUUUGGUAAGCGUGUUGUGAAAUGUAGGAGCUCAACUUCUAGAUUGCAGCGCGAACUGUCAGACUUGAGUGCGCACAACGUAGGCGGAAUUCAUGGUGUAGCGGUGAAAUGCUUAGAUAUCAUGAAGAACUCCGAUUGCGAAGGCAGCUUACGGGAGCGCAACUGACGCUGAGGCUCGAAGGUGCGGGUAGCGAACAGG
This 424-nucleotide ribosomal RNA is filed under the name Verrucomicrobiota bacterium. Its description in RNAcentral is "Verrucomicrobia bacterium partial 16S ribosomal RNA". It matches the Rfam family "Bacterial small subunit ribosomal RNA", at positions 355 to 776 of the family's 1533-position model. Lineage: Bacteria; Pseudomonadati; Verrucomicrobiota. The record is from RNAcentral.